GGCCCGGGGACCGAACCGAGUCAGGAAAAAACCUACUAUGUUUAAAAGUGAGGCGAGUUUGCGUUGGCGUCAGUGACCUGAUUUACCAGCUUUCUCCUUCACUGUGGAUGUUUCUUAGAAGCUCAAACAUCCGCCCACCCGUCCCGGCGCGUCCUGAUGACCCGGCAGGACACGAAGCGCCGAACACGGAGAGCGGCCGUCGUCAAUAAGCGAAUUAAAUGUGUAGUCGAUAACGAAGAUGGAGGGAGGUGAAGAGCGAGAACCGAUAACGAGAAGUGAUAAAUGGGCACAAGGAUGAAAGGAGCGGCGCAGUGGAUGCGGUGCAGCCGCGUCUCAUCUACACUCAGGGGUGCAAAUCUUUCUGUUUUGUCUUUUGUUUCCUGUUUCCUCACUUCCCCAAACACACAAACACAAUAACAACAUCUACAAGGCUGUGAGAAGAAGCACAUUUCUGUCUGAAACACAAAACUAUUAUUUCCUAAUAACAGAUUUUUACAUAGAGAUAAAAGUUGGUAUGAAAUGAGACACAGGUGGUGAACAUCGACCGGGUGGAGUGAUGGAGCUGUGACGCCGUCACCACACAGAAGUUAAUAAAAAAAAAAAACAAGAAUAAAUUCUUCUGUCCUGAAGAUUUCUGAAAAUGUACCAGCUUUAACUCUGACUGACACAAAGCACCGACGGUGGAAACUCCUUCUGCACGGUGAAGACACAGCACCAGUGUGACACUGAAGUUUCUUCAUGAUGCGGUGCACCAAAUGAUCUUAUCAGCUGUACAGGGUUCUGUGUUUAUUGGUGUAUAUAAGGGUUUGGUCUACAAAAUACCACCCACGUCUCUCUCUCACACACACACACACACACACACACACA
Tachysurus fulvidraco (yellow catfish) is the source of this 867-nucleotide long non-coding RNA. RefSeq lists it as uncharacterized. The record is from RefSeq and is a predicted model, not a curated record. The transcript is spliced from 3 exons. NCBI's taxonomy places the organism in Eukaryota, Metazoa, Chordata, Actinopteri, Siluriformes, Bagridae.